RNAcentral lists this long non-coding RNA (1014 nucleotides) under Oryctolagus cuniculus (rabbit). RNAcentral describes it as "lncRNA (ENSOCUG00000035963.1)". The record is from RNAcentral. Lineage: Eukaryota; Metazoa; Chordata; Mammalia; Lagomorpha; Leporidae.
AUGGCAGCGCUAAAGAGGGAAGGGGGCACGUGGGAGCGCCAAGCUGAAGGGCCAAGGGAGCGGACCCGCGCGGCGGGUCCCGCCGCCCUGAGGAGACGUCGAGGGAGCAAACUUGGACGAGCGCUCCGCCGCGCGCGGCCGGCGCUAAGGCCCGGGAGCCGACGAGCUCGGGCCCGGCGCGCCGAGGGGGCGGAUCCUGAGCAGCGGCGGAGCCUCGCGGGCGGAGCUGGGCGAUACAUGCGAGGGUCGGCCGGGCGCGCGCGGCCGCAGUUCGCCCGGGCGCGCGCUUGUUUACCAGCGCACGUGGGUGUUAUUUUUAAAUGGAAUGUGGUGCUGGCCGGGCUGCCGCGCGUAGGGCGCGUGGGGCCGCCCGCGCUAGCUGGGGGACGCGGCGGCACCCGCGCCGCGGCCUCUGCGGGCGCUGCUAAGCCGGACGGCGAAGCUGUCUCCGUGCGUGUUGCCAGCGGCCCCGGCCCUGGAGCCCGAUUGCCGAGUUUCGCGCGCUGCCGGAGCGGCCGCCGAGAUGACGGGUUCCCGCCUCGGAACGCCGCCUUCAUUCUUCCCGUGCUUGGCUCCCCCGCAUUCCACACUCUGGGAACAAAGCCGCCCGCCGUUGCGGGGCUGGGAGGCGGCGCUGGGCGGACCCCGCAGCUGCAGGUUCUGGAGCUGUGUUCACGCACGCACGCUCGCCCUCUCAAACGCGUUUCUGCUACUUUGGGUGUCCCUGCGAAGUCUGGGGGGACAAGGGGGGGAAGAGAUCUGCUUCAUGGGAUUGCGCCUCAGCCGGAGGAUCCUCUCUGUGGGCCUGCCCCGCUGAGAUCCCGAGUUUGUAUUCGGUUUACAGUGUGGACAGUGGUGCGAGAUCACAGCUGUCAGCUCCAAGUGCCAGUGUUCUGGACGCCGAGGGCAGAGGUUUCGGGGGAGGCAGAUAGGGGAGUAGGAACAGAUUAUCCGCAGUCUGGUGUUCAGUUUUGCGCCAAGGGCUUAGGGCUUUUGCACCGUGAUGCCGCAUAA